RNAcentral lists this ribosomal RNA (443 nucleotides) under uncultured bacterium. Its description in RNAcentral is "partial 16S ribosomal RNA". It matches the Rfam family "Bacterial small subunit ribosomal RNA", at positions 338 to 795 of the family's 1533-position model. The record is from RNAcentral.
CCUACGGGUGACUGCAGUGGGGAAUAUUGGGCAAUGGGCGCAAGCCUGACCCAGCAACGCCGCGUGCAGGAAGAAGGCUUUCGGGUUGUAAACUUCUUUUCUCAGGGACGAAGAAAGUGACGGUACCUGCGGAAUAAGCCACGGCUAACUACGUGCCAGCAGCCUGGGUAAUACGUAGGGGGCAAGCGUUAUCCGGCUUGACUUGGUGUAAGGGGCGUGUAGGGGGGGAAGCAAGUCAGAUGUGAAAACCACGGGCUCAACCUGUGGCCUGCAUUUGAAACUGUUUUUCUUGGGUACUGGAGAGGCAGACGGAAUUCCUAGUGUAGCGGUGAAAUGCGUAGAUAUUAGGAGGAACACCAGUGGCGAAGGCGGUCUGCUGGACAGCAACUGACGCUGAGGCGCGAAAGCGUGGGGAGCAAACAGGAUUAGAUACCCGGGUAGUC